Molecule: ribosomal RNA, 392 nt
Filed under: Streptococcus mitis
Lineage: Bacteria; Bacillati; Bacillota; Bacilli; Lactobacillales; Streptococcaceae
Description: bacterial SSU rRNA
Rfam family: Bacterial small subunit ribosomal RNA
Source: RNAcentral
GACGAACGCUGGCGGCGUGCCUAAUACAUGCAAGUAGAACGCUGAAGGAGGAGCUUGCUUCUCCGGAUGAGUUGCGAACGGGUGAGUAACGCGUAGGUAACCUGCCUGGUAGCGGGGGAUAACUAUUGGAAACGAUAGCUAAUACCGCAUAAGAGUAGAUGUCGCAUGACAUUUGCUUAAAAGGUGCAAUUGCAUCACUACCAGAUGGACCUGCGUUGUAUUAGCUAGUUGGUGAGGUAACGGCUCACCAAGGCAACGAUACAUAGCCGACCUGAGAGGGUGAUCGGCCACACUGGGACUGAGACACGGCCCAGACUCCUACGGGAGGCAGCAGUAGGGAAUCUUCGGCAAUGGAUGGAAGUCUGACCGAGCAACGCCGCGUGAGUAAAGAA